Molecule: ribosomal RNA, 497 nt
Filed under: uncultured bacterium
Lineage: Bacteria
Description: partial 16S ribosomal RNA
Rfam family: Bacterial small subunit ribosomal RNA
Source: RNAcentral
GAUGAACGCUGGCGGCGUGCCUAAUACAUGCAAGUCGAGCGAACAGAUGAGGAGCUUGCUCCUCUGACGUUAGCGGCGGACGGGUGAGUAAAACGUGGAUAACCUACCUAUAAGACUGGGAUAACUUCGGGAAACCGGAGCUAAUACCGAAUAAUAUAUUGAACCGCAUGGUUCAAUAGUGAAAGACGGUUUUGCUGUCACUUAUAGAUGGAUCCGCGCCGCAUUAGCUAGUUGGUAAGGUAACGGCUUACCAAGGCGACGAUGCGUAGCCGACCUGAGAGGGUGAUCGGCCACACUGGAACUGAGACACGGUCCAGACUCCUACGGGAGGCAGCAGUAGGGAAUCUUCCGCAAUGGGCGAAAGCCUGACGGAGCAACGCCGCGUGAGUGAUGAAGGUCUUCGGAUCGUAAAACUCUGUUAUUAGGGAAGAACAAAUGUGUAAGUAACUAUGCACGUCUUGACGGUACCUAAUCAGAAAGCCACGGCUAACUACGUG